Molecule: unclassified non-coding RNA, 284 nt
Filed under: uncultured Cortinarius
Lineage: Eukaryota; Fungi; Basidiomycota; Agaricomycetes; Agaricales; Cortinariaceae
Description: sequence contains ITS2
Rfam family: 5.8S ribosomal RNA (bases 1-52)
Source: RNAcentral
AACGCACCUUGCGCUCCUUGGUAUUCCGAGGAGCAUGCCUGUUUGAGUGUCAUUAAUAUAUAUAUCAAACCCUCUCUUGUCGAGUGGUUUGGAUGUGGGGGUUUGCUGGCCUCUUGAAGGGUUCAGCUCCUCUGAAAUGCAUUAGCAGAACAACAACCUGUUCAUUGGUGUGAUAACUAUCUACGCUAUUGAAUGUGAGGGUAAAAGUUCAGCUUUCUAACCGUCCAUGGACAAUUUAUCAUUAAUGUGACCUCAAAUCAGGUAGGACUACCCGCUGAACUUAA